AACGAACGCUGGCGGCAGGCCUAACACAUGCAAGUCGAGCGCCCCGCAAGGGGAGCGGCGGACGGGUGAGUAACGCGUGGGAACGUACCCUUUGCUACGGAAUAGCCUCGGGAAACUGGGAGUAAUACCGUAUGUGCCCUUCGGGGGAAAGAUUUAUCGGCAAAGGAUCGGCCCGCGUUGGAUUAGGUAGUUGGUGGGGUAAUGGCCUACCAAGCCGACGAUCCAUAGCUGGUUUGAGAGGAUGAUCAGCCACACUGGGACUGAGACACGGCCCAGACUCCUACGGGAGGCAGCAGUGGGGAAUCUUAGACAAUGGGCGCAAGCCUGAUCUAGCCAUGCCGCGUGAGCGAUGAAGGCCUUAGGGUUGUAAAGCUCUUUCAGUGGGGAAGAUAAUGACUGUACCCACAGAAGAAGCCCCGGCUAACUCCGUGCCAGCAGCCGCGGUAAAAGUCACGUCGAGACGGCGUGCGAGACGGCAUAG
Molecule: ribosomal RNA, 481 nt
Filed under: uncultured bacterium
Lineage: Bacteria
Description: bacterial SSU rRNA
Rfam family: Bacterial small subunit ribosomal RNA
Source: RNAcentral